AGAGUCUAUAUGUAUAUAAAUAGGGUUUUGCCCAUUAUGAAUAAAUCAGAGUUAUUGUCCGUAAGACUUGAGUAUUUUGAAAGUUUUCCUCUGUUGAAAUUUAUAUUUCUGAAUAGCAGAGUCUUUAUUCAAAUUCAUAUCACCAAACGCAACAUUCAGAGGUCGUAUUCAAAUUCAUAUCAUCAAACACAUCAUUAAAAGUUCGUAUUCAAAUUCAUAUCAUCAAACAACAUCUAGGUUAGACAUCUUAUCUAUUAUCAUCUUUAUUAUUAUCAUAUCAUUAAUAUUUGAUUUCAUUUUGGGGAAGCACAGUCUCCCUAUUGUCUCCGUCUUUGAAAACAAUCACUCAUUAUAUAUUAUAUAUACAUACUAAUUUACAAUGACCACUUGGACAGUACUUUUCUAUCAUUGGAUGGAAUUUUUGUUUUUAUUUUUCUUUGUUGACUCUCUUUUUCUGGAUUAUUUUUUUAUUUGGGAACGUGUGUUUUUUUUUUCUAUAUACACCGCUUCAACACGUGUUCCUCAUCUUUCAUCCUCAUCGGCUCACCCAUCGACUUAGUUUAAUCCCUCCAUCGCCUCACACCACCUGCUCUACUUUCCACCGAUUAUGGUGAUGGGAUCAAGAAAAGGAGGGUAUCCGCUGAUGGUGACAGUCUUGAGGUCGCCAUUUACAGAUCUAAAGGCACCCUGGUAUGUUUACAACAUUCAUCGAUUGUAAAUAGAGGGUAACAAAGAAAUCAUAUCGGAUCCCACUUCAAUUAUUGUUGAUUUUCGUCUCUCACUGCCUUCAAUUAUUGUUGAUUUUCGUCUCUCACUGCCUUCGAGCAUCCACUGCUGACUUUGUAAGCAGCACCUUCUUGCCCUUAGCAUCACCAUUGCUUUCAGUUUCAAGCCUUAAACCGUACUCUCUGCGCUUCCGGUAGGAGGAGGAGGAGGGUCGGAGUCCGAAGAAGGUGCAUGUCAUGAAGCAGGAAACACAACUUACGUGGAUGAUCCGCCGAAUCGAACAGCUUAAAGGUUGUGAGGCAGUGAACAUGAUGGAGGAAUGGUCGCCGAAGUUCCCAAGAAAGUAACAUCUUCUGUUUUCCUAUCAGUUGCAUGUUAGGUGUUUCCUGAAAUGGCUGAUUGAAUCUAUCUUUCGUGUAAUUUAACUCAUUUUGCCCAUUGUAAUUUGUAUCACAUAACUUAUUCUUAUUAUGAUUGUACCAUUAUAUUUCAUUUUGCAAAUACAAAAUGGAAAUUAGAUU
This is a long non-coding RNA of Lactuca sativa (garden lettuce), 1247 nucleotides long. RefSeq lists it as uncharacterized. The record is from RefSeq and is a predicted model, not a curated record. Lineage: Eukaryota; Viridiplantae; Streptophyta; Magnoliopsida; Asterales; Asteraceae.